Molecule: ribosomal RNA, 479 nt
Filed under: uncultured bacterium
Lineage: Bacteria
Description: partial 16S ribosomal RNA
Rfam family: Bacterial small subunit ribosomal RNA
Source: RNAcentral
GAUGAACGCUAGCGGGAGGCCUAACACAUGCAAGCCGAGCGGUAGAGUUUCUUCGGAAACUUGAGAGCGGCGCACGGGUGCGUAACACGUGUGCAACCUACCUUUAUCUGGGGGAUAGCCUUUCGAAAGGAAGAUUAAUACCCCAUAAUAUAAUGAUUGGCAUCAAUUAUUAUUGAAAACUCCGGUGGAUAGAGAUGGGCACGCGCAAGAUUAGAUAGUUGGUGAGGUAACGGCUCACCAAGUCAAUGAUCUUUAGGGGUCCUGAGAGGGAGAUCCCCCACACUGGUACUGAGACACGGACCAGACUCCUACGGGAGGCAGCAGUGAGGAAUAUUGGACAAGGGGUGAGAGCCUGAUCCAGCCAUCCCGCGUGAAGGAUGACGGUCCUAUGGAUUGUAAACUUCUUUUGUACAGGGAUAAACCUACUCUCGGGAGGGUAGCUGAAGGUACUGGACGAAUAAGCACCGGCUAACUCCGUG